RNAcentral lists this small RNA (105 nucleotides) under Marmota monax (woodchuck). Lineage: Eukaryota; Metazoa; Chordata; Mammalia; Rodentia; Sciuridae. The record is from RNAcentral.
GCUGGGCAUGGUGGUGCAUACUUGUAAUCCCAGCUACUAAGGAGGCUGAGGCAGGAGGAUUGCAAAUUCAAGGCUAGCUGGGAAACUUAGCAAGAUCUGUUUCAA